RNAcentral lists this unclassified non-coding RNA (332 nucleotides) under soil metagenome. RNAcentral's name for it is "partial contains 5.8S ribosomal RNA, internal transcribed spacer 2, and large subunit ribosomal RNA". The stretch from base 2 to 121 matches the Rfam family "5.8S ribosomal RNA", at positions 35 to 154 of the family's 154-position model. The record is from RNAcentral.
GGAUGAAGAACGUAGCGAAAUGCGAUAAGUAAUGUGAAUUGCAGAACUCAGUGAAUCAUCGAAUCUUUGAACGCACAUUGCGCCCCCUGGUAUUCCGGGGGGCAUGCCUGUUCGAGCGUCAUUUCACCACUCAAGCCUCGCUUGGUAUUGGGCAACGCGGUCCGCCGCGUGCCUCAAAUCGACCGGCUGGGUCUUCUGUCCCCUAAGCGUUGUGGAAACUAUUCGCUAAAGGGUGUUCGGGAGGCUACGCCGUAAAACAACCCCAUUUCUAAGGUUGACCUCGGAUCAGGUAGGGAUACCCGCUGAACUUAAGCAUAUCAAUAAGCGGAGGA